Long non-coding RNA from Canis lupus familiaris (dog), 475 nucleotides. RefSeq lists it as uncharacterized. The record is from RefSeq and is a predicted model, not a curated record. NCBI's taxonomy places the organism in Eukaryota, Metazoa, Chordata, Mammalia, Carnivora, Canidae. The transcript has 2 exons.
CAAGAGAAUCAUGCAGAGUUCCGAGAGAUUCACUUCUCUCCUCAAGACCUUCCAAGUCAUAGUGAGAGGCUGGUGAUGAGAAAGCUUUAAAAGAUUCUGCAAUCGGCCCAGAGUCAGACAACUGGUGUGAUUCGAUGCCAGGUUGGUCCAUGUGAGUCUGAGGCAUAUUCUUUGCUCCAAUACCACCAAACUUCUUCGAUAUCCAGGAAGGAGAAAGAAUGGAAAGCAAACAUGAGGGUGAAUGGAAAAGACUGAAAAAACAAAGGAUAAUGAAGUGAAGGAGGCAAAGAGGGGGUAUAUUAUGAAGGCAACAACCAACCAGCCAGGGUUGAAGAAGGGAGAGAAGAUGCAAAGCAACGUUCAUGAGCCUUUUUGUAGUUCAUGCUGUCACCCAUAGGUGACAUGCUAUGGUACCACAGAAAGGUUAAAAAAAAAAAAAUGGGCCCCACCAAUCUCACCUAUUAACACAGAAAAA